GAAAUGUCUGUUCAUUUCAGAUGCCCAUUUUUGGAUUGGGUCUUUAAAUUUGGGAGGUCUGAUCUUUUUAAGUUCUUUAUAGAUUCAAGAUAGUAGACCAUUGUCUGAGGAAGAGCAGGUGAAGAUUUUUUCCCACCUGUGGGAUUGUGGGUUGUCUCUUCACACUGCUGGUGGUUUCUCUUGCUGUGCAGAAGCCUUUUAAUAAGAAGAGAUCCCACUUGUUGAUUGUUUGUGCUAGUUCAUGGGCAACUGAGCUUUUGUUCAUAAAAUCUUUUCCUACAGCAAUGUCCUCAAGGGUUCUACCUAACCUCUGUUCCAACUGGUUCAGAGUUUCUAUUUGAAUAUUUAGAUCUUUAAUCCAUUUUGAUUUUAGUUUAGUGCAUGGUGAGAGAUACAGGUCUAGUUUUAAUCGUUGGCAGGUUGAAGCCCAGUUUUUCCAGCACCAUUUAUUAAAGAGGGUAUCUUUCCUCCAGUGAGGGUGUUUGGCUCCUUUAUCGAAGAUGAGAUGGCUGAGUGUGUCUGGCAUUGUUUCUGCAUCUUCUAAUCUGUUCCACUGGCCCUCAAGUCUGUUUCUUUGCCAGUAUCAUGCUGUUUUUAUCACAGUAGCUUUGUAGUAUAGUUGCAGGUUGGGGAUUGUGAUACCCCCUGCCAUGUCUCUGUUACCUAGAAUUGCUUUUACUAUUCUGGGUCUCUUCUUGUUCCAAAUGAAUUUUUGGAUUGUUUUCUCAAGGUCCAUGAAGUAUGCUGCUGGGAUCUCAAUUGGAAUUGCAUUAAAUCUAUAUAGCAGUUUGGGAAGUAUGGCCAUUUCACUAUAUUAAUCCUUCCUACCCAGGAGCAGGGGAUGUCUGUCCAUUUUCUGAUAUCAUCUUCAAUCUCUCUUUUCAGAGUGCCAUAGUUUUCAGAGAAGAGGUCUUUCAUUUCUUUCAUUAGGUUGAUUCCUAGGUAUUUCAGUUUUUUGGAUGCUAUUGUGAAAGGAAUUAUUUGCCCUAUUUCUCUCUCAGUGAGUCUGUCAUUGGUGUAGAGGAAAGCUAUUGAUUUUUGUGUGUUGACCUUGUAACCAGCUACUUGACUGAAUUUGGUUAUUAAGUCUAGAAGACAUUUGGUGGAGUUCUUGGGAUCGUCUAUAUAGAGUAUCAUGUCAUCUGCAAAUAAUGACAAGUUGACUUCUUCAUUACCUAUCUUUAUUCCUUUUAUUUCUUUCUCUUGUCUAAUUGCUGUGGCUAAUGUUUCCAGAACUACAUUGAACAAGAGUGGUGAUAGUGGACAUCCUUGUCUUGUUCCUGAUUUUAGUGUGAAGGAUUUCAGUUUUUGAUCAUUUAUUAUGAUAUUGGCUGUUGGUUUUUCGUAGAUGGCUUCUAUCAUUUUGGGGCAGAGACCAUCUAUUGCAAUUUUUUGUAGGGUUUUUAUCGUAAAUGCAUGUUGGAUUUUAUCAAAUGCUUUUUCUGUGUCUAUGGAGAUAAUCAUAUGGUUUUUGCCCUUGGCUCUGUUGAUAUAAUGUAUUACAUUGAUUGAUUUGUGUUUAUUGAAGCAUCCUUGCAUCCCUGGGAUGAUUCCCACUUGAUCAGGGUGUAUGAUCUUCUUGUUGAUCUUCUGCAUUCUGUUUGUCAUUAUCUUAUUGAGGAUUUUUGCAUCUCUAUUCAUUAGCGAGAUUGGCCUAUCAUUCUCUUUUUCAGUUGGGUCUUUCUCUGCUUUGGGGAUCAAGGUGAUGCUUGCUUCCAGGAAUGAAUUUGGGAAUAUUGCUUCCCUUUCAAUUUCACUGAAGAAAUUAAACAGUAGUGGCAGCAGUUCCUCUCUAAAUGUCUUAUAGAAUUCAGCAGUGAAGCCAUCAGGGCCCAGGCUUUUCUUAGUUGAUAAGUUUUUAAUUACAUUUUCAAUUUCAUUGGUUGAUAUUGGGUUGUUCAGAAUUUUUAGGUCUUCUUCAUUCAACUUUGGUAAUUAAUAUGUGUCUAGGAAUCUGUCCAUUUCUUCUGUGUUGUCCAUCUUAUUGGUGUAUAGAUUCUGGAAGUAGGUAUUGAUGAUCCUCUGGAUUUCUGCUGGGUCUGUUGUAAUUUCAUCGUUUUCAUUCCUAAUUGCAUGGAUUUGGGCCUUUUCUUUCCUUGUUCUGACGAGGUUGGCUAAAGGUUUGUCAAUUUUGUUGACUCUUUUGAAGAACCAUCUCUUGGCUUCAUUGAUUUUUUUGUAUCAUUCUCUUAGUCUCCAUUGCAUUGAUUUCUCCUCUGAUCUUUAUAAUUUCCUCCCUUGUAUGAGCUUUGGGGUUGUCCUGCUCUUCUUUUUCUAGAAGCUUGAGGUUCAGCAUCAGGUUGUUUAAUUGGGCUCGUUCUGUUUUCCUAAUAUGCGUAUUCACUGCUAUGAAUUUCCCUCAUAAGACUGCUUUCAUUGUGUCCCAUAGAUUCUGAUAUGUUGUAUUGUCAUUGUCAUUGAACUGAAGGAACUGAUUUCUUCUUUAAUUUCCUCUGUGACACAUUGGUUAUUCAGAAGUGUGUUGUUCAAUUUCCACGUGUUUAUGAAAUUUUUGGAGUUUCUUUUGCUAUGGAUCUCCAAUUUCAUCACACUAUGGUCUGAUAAUAUACAGGGGAUAACUUCAAUUCCUUUGCACUUACUUAAACAUGUUCUAUGUGUGAGUAUGUGGUCUAUUUUGGAGAAUGACCCAUGUGCAGCUGAGAAGAAUGUGUAUUCUGAUUUAGGGGUGUGGAACACUCUGUAAACAUCUGUUAAGUUCAUUUGUUCAAGAGUUCGAUUGAGUUCUAGUAUUUCAUCACUUAUUUGUAGUCUACUUGAUCUAUUUGUGACAGUGGGGUGUUGAGGUCCCCCACUACAAUUGUACUAGUGUGUAUAUGACUUUUCAUGUCCAUUAGUAUUUGUUUUAUAUAGUUGGGUGCGCUAGUGUUUGGUGCAUAGAUAUUUAUGAUUGUCAUCGCUUCCUCUUGGAUUGUUCCAAGGAUGUAGUGUCCUUCUUUGUCUCUCUUAAUCAGUGUUGGUUUGAAGUCUACUUGAUCUGCCAAGAGGAUAGCUACUCCUGCUUUUUUUCAGGUUCCUGUCUCAUGGAGUAUUGUUUUCCACCCUUUAACUUUCAGUCUAUGAGUUUUCUUUUGAAUUAAGUGUGUUUCUUGUAUGCAGCAUAUUGUUAGAUUUUGCUUCUUGACCCAUUCUGCCAGUCUAUUUCUUUUGAUUGGUGAAUUGAGACCCUUAACAUUGAUGGUUAUAACUGAAACGUAUUGACUUGUCAUUGCCAUGACUUUUUCUUUUUGUUGGGUUCUCCCCCUUUACAUUUAAUUUCUUGUCAUGCCAGAUGGAUUCAUUCUGCUUUGCUUUCUGGCGUUGUGAUCCUCAAUGUCUGUUCCUAGGAUAUUGUGUAAAAUUCUUUGGAGUGCUGGUUUGGUAUCCAUGAAGUUCCUAAGGUGCUCUUUGUCAUGAAAAUAUCUUAUUUCUCCAUCCAUUUUGAAAGGUAGUUUUGCAGGGUACAUCAAUCUGGGUUGGAGGCUGUUUUCUUUUAGGGCUUGGAAUAUGUCACUCCAAGCUCUUCUUGCCUUGAUGGUUUGUGUUGAGAAGUCUGCUGUGAUUGUGAUGGGCUUUCCUUUGUAUGUGAUUUGUUUCUUUUCUCUGACUGCUUGGAGAACUUUGUUCUUCUGUUGUGUUUCUAGAUCUUAACACUUAUAUGCCUAGGUGUAGAUUUAUUUUGAUCAAGGCUAUUUGGAGUCCUAUAUGCCUCACUUAUCUGUAUGUCAAGCUCUCUUCCCCUGCUUGGGAAGUUUUCUGCCAUUAUUUCUCUGAAGAGAUUUUGUUAUGUCAUCUCCACUCUCUCCUGUUUCUGCAUUGAGCCCAAUUAGUCUUAUGUUCUUCUUCUUUGCAUCAUCUAGCUGCUGCUGGAUUGAUUUCUCAUGUUCCCUCAUAAUUUUGAAGCAAUUUUUCUUUUCCUGGUCACUAAUUGCAAUCUUAUCUUCUAUAUCUGAAAUUCUGUCCUCACAUUGGCUCAUUCUGCUGUGUAGACUUUCAGUGGAGUUUUUCUUGUCCUGGAAAUCUGUUUGCAUCUGUUUUAUGGAUUCCAUUUGUUUCUUAUGUUGGGAUUCCAUCAUGUUCCUGAGCUCCUGUCUAGAUUUAUUAAUCGUGUCUUGUACUAGGGGCACAAUUUCUCCUGUUAUCUGAGAAAUUAUUUCUGAUUUCAUUUUUUCCAGAUCCCCUUUUGGUGCCAGUUCAGUGGGUCCAGGUGGUUGAGUAUCAGAGUGUUCCAUCUCAUUUCCCUUUGGGGUUGCUGUAGGCAGUCUGAAAGUCUGGUUUUGAGACUCAUUUAUGUGUUUUCUCAUUUCAACUGGGGCGGGGGUCUGUUAGUGCCUGCGCGGAUUACCCCCUCUGAGCUGGGAGAGGUGGAUGGGGCCAGGAGUAGCGGUAGAGAUGGUGGCCUAGAAGCCCCUUCUUCUGGGCCAGGAGAAGGACAGAAGGUGGCCCAAAAUCCCUUUCCUCUGGGCUUGGAGUGGUGGGCGGGAUGGUGACUGGGAAGCCGCUUCCUCUGGACCAGGAGUUGUGGGAUGGCUGCUCAGAAGCCCCUACCUGUGGGCCUGGAGCAGCGGGACUCAGUACCUCGGUCUGUUGUUCUGGUGUCCUCUGCGUCUUUUAGUGUGGAACCAGGUGGCUGCCUGUCUGCAGCGGGGUGAUUCGGCAUCUUCCGCGUGACUUGGGACCUCGGUAGGGCGUGCACAGACCUGCCUGUCUGCAGCGGGCUGAUUCGGCGUGUUCUGUGGGACUGGGGACCUCGGUAUGGCGUGGGCAGACCUGCCUGUCUGCAGCGGGCUGAUUCGGCGUGUUCUGUGCGACUGGGGACCUCGGUAUGGCGUGGGCAGACCUGCCUGUCUGCAGCAGGCUGAUUUGGCAUAUUCUGUGGGACUCAGGACCUCGGUAGGGCGUGGGCAAACCUGCCUGUCUGCAGCGUGGUGAGUUGGCAUCUUCCACAGGACUGGGGACCUCGGUAGGGCAUGCCGAUCAUGUGAUUUUUGUAUUUGGUUUUGUCAUUAUGGAGAGUUACAUUUAUUGAUUUGCAUAUGUUGAAACAUCCCUGCAUCCCUCGAAAAAAUCCUACUUGUUAGUGGUGUAUAAUGUCUUUGGUGAUUUUUUGCAUUCUAUUUGCCAGUAUCUUACUGAGGAAUUUUGCGUCUAAAUUCAUUAGGGAGAUUGGCCUGUAGUUCUCUUUUGGUUGGGUCUUUCUCUUCUUUUGGUAUCAGGGUAAUACUUAUUUCCAGGAAUGACUUUGGGAGUAUUGUUUCCCUUUCAGUUUCACUAAAGAGUUUGAAGAGUAGUGGCAUUAGAUCUUCUCUAAAUUUCUUGUAGAAUUUAACAGUUAAUUCAUGAGGACCUAGGCUUUUCUUUGUUGCUAAGUUUUUAAUUACAUUUUCAAUUUCAUUGAUUUGGGGUUAUUUAGAAUUUUCAUAUCUUCUUGAUUCAGUUUGGGUAAUUCAUAUGUAUCUAGGAAUCUGUCCAUUUCUUCUGUGUUUUCCAUCUUAUUUGAGUACAGGUUCUCAAAGUAGGUUUUGAAGAUCUUCUGGAUUUCCACAGGAUCCAGUGAUUUCACCCUUUCUGUUCAUAGUUGCAUGAAUUUAAGUCUUUUCUUUCCUUUUUUUGAUAAGGUUGGCUAAGGGUUUAUCAAUUUUAUUUAAUCUUUCAAAGAACAAACUCUUUGAUUCAUUGUAUUAUUUUCCUAGUCUCAGUUGCAUUAAUUUCUGCUCUGAUACUUAUAAUUUCCUUCCUUGUAUAAGAUUUGGGCUUGACUUCUUUAUAUAUAUAUAUAUAUAUUUUAUUUUUGGUACCGGGGAUCAAGCUCAGGACCUUGUGCUUGUGAGGCAGGUGGCAGCACCACUGAGCUAAAUCCCAAGCCCAGGUUCUGUAGAACAAUUAAUACAUAUCAUUUUGGAUCAAUUUUUUUUGUAUUGGGUAUCGAACUCGGGACCCUGUGCUUGCAAGGCAUGUGGGAGAACCACUGAGCUACAUCCCUGGCCCUCUAGAUGUUUGAGGUUCAACAUUAGGUUAUUUGUGCUCGUUCUGUUUUCCUGAUGUGAGAAUUUACUGCUAUAAAUUUUCCUAAGACUACCUUCAUUGUAUCCCAUAAGUUGGAACUUAUGUUCCAUACAAUGUAUGUUGUAUCGUGAUUAUGUAUAUACUGUUUAUUUCAUCUGUGAUCCAUUGGUUGUCUAGGGAGUGUUAUUUAUUUUCCAUGUGUUUAUGGAGUUUUUGUGGUUUCUUUUGCCAUUGAUUUCCAAUUUCAUUGCACUAUGGCCAGAUAAUAUGCAUGAGAUAAUUUCAAUUCCUUUGCAUUUACUUAAGCAUAUUCUAUGAGCUAGUAUAUGGUUUAUUUUGGAGAAUGUCCCAUGUCCAGCUAAGAAGAAUGUGUAUUGUGAUAUUGUGGGAUGGAAUACUCUGUAGACAUUCACUAAGUCCCUUUGUUCACAGUGGUUCAGUGCUGAUAUUUCUUCAUUGAUAUUUUUGUCUAGUUGAUGUGUCUAUUUGUGACAGUAAAAUAUUGAGGUUCUCCAUUACAAUUGUAUUAGUGCUUAUUUGAUUUUUGAUGUCUGUUAAUAUUUGUUUACAUAGUUGGGUGCAUAUAUAUUUAUGAUUGUUAUCCAUUCCUCUUGGAUUGUUACCUUUACAAGGAUGUAGUGACCUUCUCUAUCUCUCUGAAUCAGUCUUGGCUUGAAAUCCUUUUUCUCUGCAAAUAGAAUAGCUAACCCUGCUUUUUUUCUGGGUUCCUGUUGCAUGGAGUAUUGCUUUCCAUCCUUUGACUUUCAGUCUGUGAAUUUCUUUUUUAGUUAAAUAUGUUUCCUGUAUGAAGCAAAUUGUUGGAUCUUAUUUCUUGAUCCAUCCGGCCAGUCUAUGUCUUUUGAUUGGUGAAUUGAGGUCAUUUCUUUAUAGCAAAUGAAUCAAUUAGUAGAGUGAAGAGACAACCUAUAGUGUAGGGAGCAGGGGAAGGGGAUGUUACCAGAACCUCUGCAGUAAGUCCUAGUCUCCUGUGAGACACGGCAGCACACGGCGAAUUACAGGAAAGGUAGAAAAAUGAGACUGAGAAGAAGCUGAGCUUUUGGGUCUGAUCAGUGCUGCUCUGGGCAGCAAAGACAAAAACCCUCUAGCUUGCAGCAUCUUUUAUUCAGUACAUGGGGAAACAAAUGUAACAAAUGAAAAAUAGAGUUCAGUACUUCACAUUGGUAUAAACAAGGUGUAACAAAAGGCUGGGGGGCAGUGGAAAACUAAGAACAAUGAGGAACUAUGUAGAUGAAGAUUUGGUUCCUCCCUGUAGUCUCCCACAGGUGUGGUCUUGUCCUGGAGCAUUACGGCAUGGGGGGGGGGGGCGCGAAUCACUGAGGUCUUAGUUGUGACCCGAGGCCAAAAUGCAGUUAUGUCUGGAAUGUCCUAGCUGGGCUGUAGGCCAGAGAACUAGGCCUACUCAAAUGAUUUUUCCUAGAAUUAUGUAGCAUUGCUCCCAGCACUAUAGAAUGGGAAAAAGUGUUGUCAGCUAUUCCUCAGGUAGAGGAUAAUAUCUAGAAUAUAAAAAGAACUCAAUUGGCAGUGGUUAUUAACUUCACAUUAACUAGGAAACAAAAAUUAGCACAUUUAUUUAAUCAAAUUUUAUCUCUUUGUCUCUCUCUUUUACACACACAUAUACACACAGAAACAUAUAUAUAUAUAUAUAUACCUUGUGUUUUGGAGGCCUUUUGGAGGCUUCAUGUUGCUCUUCUCUCUUGCCAUGGUCAUUUCAUCCAUGAACCAAUAUUGUUUAGCUUUUGUCUUCAUUUCUAUGUGCUUCUAUUUCAGCUCCUAAAGUGUGUCCAUGAAAUCAAUGAGUUUCUCAUCCAAUAGUUCCAUAGCAACUAGAUCCCUCUUUAAUUAAAAAGCAAUAUAAAAGUCACUGUUAACUGAUUAGAAAAUAUUGGUGAUCUGAGCACCACACACACUACACAGUUCCUUAAUAUGUUUCUUAAAAGUUAUUUACCAAGCCUGAUUUGACAUUUUUUCAUUUGUAAUUUGUUUGCACUUAAGCAUGAGGAUGAACCACAGGUAGACUCACAUUCCACAGCAUCCUUUUGGUGUUCUCUCAGGUCUGGAUCGUGCAAUGGUGGUUGGGUUAGUCAUUUGCUUCUCAAAAUUAUAGCUCUCAGAGGUAUAAAAUGUAUACAAUGGCAUAUACAAUAUCUUCCAGUUCUCAAAGCUUUCCAUCUAUCUCAGUCUAUCUUUUUUAUAAACACGUACACACAACUUUUAAGUUACCUGAACAGAAAUUUCACCAUUUUGAGUUUUCUAAAACAUGUAGAAGAAAUUUGAAAAUAAUAAUUAAUACAACUUACAGUGCAUAAAUAUGUAGGAGGCAUAAGCAGAAAGCAAUUGAGGCUAAAAUAUGGUUCUGGUUGUGAUUAUUGGGUUCUCGUUUGGUAGCAAUAAUAUCUUCCUGCAAAAUUUUCGAGGUGGUAUGGAGACAAAAGAUGAGAUGAGAAGUGUCAGUGUGUUUUGGGAAAAAAUACUUUGUAUUUUUACGCUGGUUCAACCGUCAAACAUUGUUAUCUUGAUGGAUCUUGUUUGGGAAAACCCAUGUACUAAAAUUGAAGAAUUUCAUGCAACCAUAAAAAUAUUGAUUUCUUAUUCAUACAUACAUGAACAAAAGCAGACAGCAAGUAUCUGAAACCGUGACAACUUAUACUUCUCUAAUUGUAACAAAAUAAACCAUUUAUUUUUCUCCUAUGAGAUUAUAUUAAACGAAUACUUAAAAGAAAAUAUCCUUGGUAUGCAAUACAUUCAGUCAUUUUAUCAUCUUGCUUUGAAUACCAUUUAAUAACUGGAACAAAAACUUUAACUGUCAUCUCAAAAGCCAAAUGUGAGGCCUAGAAACACUUAUUUUAUUUUCCAUUAACUGCAUGACAAAUUAUUCUUUGCAAUAGAAUACUAUAAUGUAAAUAAAAUGGUGGAAUCAACUUAACUGGAAGCUUCUUAUAUUUAAUAACUUGUAAAGGACAAAAAUAUUUCAAGAAUGAGGAUUAGAUUGCACCUUUAUCAAUUAUGUAAAGUGUAAGUUAUUUCUAACAUUGUCCUUUGGUUUUCGGUUGUCACUGAAAAAAUACUUGUACAUAUUAAAUUGUUUAGCCUCUGGUUGUUUUGUGAAUAAAUUAAGCAUUUUUUUCAUAAGACAAACAUAAACCCAAUACAAUUACUAAAGGCAGUGGGAGACAAUGUUAAUGUGUUUCAUACUUCAAAGGCUACAGCUGCCAAAAAUUCAUAGUAAUCAAUCAACAUUUUUCCACAACAACCUGACAGGGGCAAUCAUUAUAGGAGAUUUUUUUAAAAGAUAAAAUUACUGGAUAUAUUGAUUAAUUUAUUGUUCCUUUGGGACUACCUUAUAUGCAGCUAAAAUAUUAAAACUGUUUUUUUCUUCUACAGAAAGAGAAUUUGGAACUCACUCUAGACAAUUUAACCCAAUUCUUUCCUGUGAAUAGAAUUACCUUUUACUGUGUGCUAUUAUGAUCUAUAAUUCAGAAUUAGAAAGCUGAACAUAGGAAUAAAAAUUAAUACAGAAUUUACUUUUCACAGCCUAGAGAUUUUGCUCUAAAUUCUGAAACACAGUUUGGUAGUCAGUGAGUAGUUCCUAGGGGAAAAAGUUUUUGCUAGAGAAGCAUUUCAUUUCAGUGCAACAAGUAGAUAUAAAGUCAGGUCAUAAUUUUUCAGCUGUUCAUAGCAAUCACUUAGCCUCAAAUACAAAAUGCAAUGUAUAUUUAAGUCAAAGUUCUCAAGGAAAGGAAAAGAAAAAGUCCAAAUUUACCUUGGGUUUUAUUUCCAUUUUGAAAAACUUCUUUCCAAUUCUUUCUUCCUCCUGCACAUCAACAUAAUCUAGUUUUAAUGGUAUCCUUAAAUCAGCCUUGUUGGUACCAGAAUGUAUUUUGACAAUGAGCAGCAUAAUCUAACAUUCUAAAAACUAGUGAGAGAUGGUAUCUAAUUCACACCUUUCAAACAGGAAAUCUUAGACAAAACAAUAGCUGACAAUUUUUGUUUGUUCAGUAAAGAAUUUAAAAAUGUAAGUAAGUUGACAACAUUUUAAAAAUGAAUAAUAGAUAUUAUGAAAUAGGAAGAAAAUAUUUAAAUGGAAAGGGGAACUAGGGAGGGGAGGAGGAAGGAAGGGAAAUGAAAAAAGAGAAUAGAAGGAAAAAAUGGAAACAAAGCUUUUGUAAAUAAGGAGGGGAAGAGAGAUUGAAAAGAGGGAAAGGAAAUGGG
Molecule: long non-coding RNA, 10233 nt
Filed under: Heterocephalus glaber (naked mole-rat)
Lineage: Eukaryota; Metazoa; Chordata; Mammalia; Rodentia; Bathyergidae
Description: lncRNA (ENSHGLG00000043192.1)
Source: RNAcentral